Molecule: non-coding RNA, 89 nt
Organism: Paramuricea clavata
Lineage: Eukaryota; Metazoa; Cnidaria; Anthozoa; Malacalcyonacea; Plexauridae
Source: the annotation of a GenBank genome assembly
GGUUGUUAAAAGGUAAAACUAAUAGUGGAUUUAAAUUAUAAUCCACUUUUAUAAUUUAAAUCCACUAUUAGUUUUACCUUUCAACAACC